CUGGACUAGACUGUCAGCUCCAUGGUGUCAGGGACCACGUCCGUGAUGGCUCAGCAGUGCCCAGCACACAAUAAACCUCUGUGGAAUAACAGCUGCCUGUAAAUGCUGAAGUUCAAAACAAGUAAAGAAAAUUACUCUGGUAAUGAAAGGGUUACUGCUCUUAAGUUGCUGCCAAUCCAGUUCUGGGAAAGCUCCGUGUUGCCAGAAGCAGUAUGAAUAAAGAAGCUCUGAGAACUCCAGAAGAUAGAAAUGCAGAUAUCAAAGAAGAAAGAAUAGUUAUCAAUAAAGAGGAAGAACAUGACUUUCCAUUCGGCUUUAUGAACAAUGAACUACAUGAUUCUUAUGAAAGUGGAAGAUUGAUGGAAAUUCUGUCAAAAUCUAGCCCAGGUCCAUAGGCUAUUGCUUGAAAACUAUUAAACCAUAGAGGCUCUGAAAUAUAGAAUUUAUUUAUCUUUUUAU
Microcebus murinus (gray mouse lemur) is the source of this 459-nucleotide non-coding RNA. Lineage: Eukaryota; Metazoa; Chordata; Mammalia; Primates; Cheirogaleidae. The record is from RefSeq and is a predicted model, not a curated record.